Molecule: ribosomal RNA, 758 nt
Filed under: uncultured Sebacina
Lineage: Eukaryota; Fungi; Basidiomycota; Agaricomycetes; Sebacinales; Sebacinaceae
Description: partial 28S ribosomal RNA
Rfam family: Eukaryotic large subunit ribosomal RNA
Source: RNAcentral
GAAUCCCGUAUGUGGCACGGACUCCCGUUACUCUGUGAUACACUCUCAACGAGUCGAGUCGUUUGGGAAUGCAGCUCCAAAUGGGUGGUAAAUGCCAUCUAAAGCUAAAUAUUGGCGAGAGACCGAUAGCAAACAAGUACCGUGAGGGAAAGAUGAAAAGCACUUUGGAAAGAGAGUGAAACAGUACGUGAAAUUGUUGAAAGGGAAACGCUUGAAGUCAGUCAUGCCCUUUGGGAUUCAGCCUUGCUUCUGCUUGGUUUACUUCUCUUUGGGUGGGUCAACAUCAGUUUGGGUCGGAGGAGAAAGACUUGGGGAAGGUGGCAGCAUUCGUGCUGUGUUAUAGCCCCUUGUUGUAUACUUCGAUUUGGACUGAGGACCGCAGCACGCCUUUGGCCGGGGCUCGCCCACGUACGUGCUUAGGAUGUUGGCAUAAUGGCUUUAAGCGACCCGUCUUGAAACACGGACCAAGGAGUCUAACAUGCCCGCGAGUGUUCGGGUGGAAAACCCGUGCGCGCAAUGAAAGUGAAAGUUGGGACCUCUGUCGCGGAGGGCACCGACGCCCGGACCAGAGCUUCUGCGACGGAUCUGCGGUGGAGCGUGUAUGUUAGGACCCGAAAGAUGGUGAACUAUGCCUGAAUAGGGUGAAGCCAGAGGAAACUCUGGUGGAGGCUCGUAGCGAUUCUGACGUGCAAAUCGAUCGUCAAAUUUGGGUAUAGGGGCGAAAGACUAAUCGAACCAUCUAGUAGCUGGUUCCUGCC